RNAcentral lists this transfer RNA (76 nucleotides) under Anaerolineae bacterium. RNAcentral describes it as "tRNA-Arg". It matches the Rfam family "tRNA". Rfam says of the family: Transfer RNA (tRNA) molecules are approximately 80 nucleotides in length. Their secondary structure includes four short double-helical elements and three loops (D, anti-codon, and T loops). Lineage: Bacteria; Bacillati; Chloroflexota; Anaerolineae. The record is from RNAcentral.
GCCCCGGUAGCUCAAAGGACAGAGCAACGGUCUUCUAAACCGUUGGCUGUGGGUUCGAGUCCCACCCGGGGCGCCA